GGGCAUCCGUAGUGUACCACAGAAAGGCUUUGUCAUUUUUAAACCCAUUCAAUAAUUUCAAGUCUAAAGCGUGUUCAAGAUUGUUCUUCAGAGUUGCAAAAGCCAAACUGAAGAAGUUAGGAUGUGCUAGGAUUGUAACUUUACUUUGAGUCGCUUUGGAGUUCUUUUUUGGACAGCAUUUUCCCUGUCAUGUAUGUGUGUGUUUACUUGGACACACAAUCGAAAUGGCAGCCGUCUGGGAAACGCUGGCCAAAGCCCUAGAAAUGCUAACAUAUUUCCAGUGGUUUCAAUUUGUCUUCACAGGAGCAAAAUUAUUUUUGGCUUGUUAAACAUGUGUAAAUGAUCGUAGUAGUGCUAAACAAAGCUUAUUUGAGAAGUCUGCGGGUGCAGAGAGUUCUGUUAGCGCUUUGUGGUUGAUGGUUUAGAGUCCCCUUUUACCAAGGUGACGAGGCAUCCAGGCCCAUGAGUGCAUGGAGAAAGAGCCUCUGGUCAUUUCUGUCCCUAAGAGUCUUCAAUGUCAUCGUAGGUGGCUGUAAAGCAACUUAAUCUCCAGCACCAGGGCUGCGAGGACGUACUGAAAGAAAUCCUGGUCAUGAGUGAAAAUAAGAACGCCAAUAUUGUCACCUACCUAGAAAGCUACCUUGUCAAUGAGGCUGUCCUGCUGGUCUUGGAGUAUAUGGAUGGAGGCUCCUUAGGUGAUGUGGUCAGCGUGAGAAGGAUGGCUGUAGGACACAUAGCAACAGUGUGUCGGGAGUGCCUGCAAGGCCUGGCUUUCCUUCAUGCCAACCAGGUGAUCCAUAGAGAUAUCAAAAGUGACAACAUCCUUCUGGGCCGGGAUGGCUCCGUCAAGUUGGCUGAUUUUGGCCUCUGUGCUCUGCUCAGCCCUGAGCAGAGGAAACGGAGGUCGAUGGUCGGGACCACUUGCUGGAUGGCACCCGAGGUUGUGAGAAGAGAGCCUUACGGCCCCAAAGUGGACACCUGGUCCCUUGGCAUCGUGGGAAUAGAAAUGGCCACAGGAGAGCCUCCUUAUGUUCGGGAAACCAGUGACAGGGCCAACUUCCUGAUAGGCAAGCAAGGGGUACCAGACCUGCACAAGCUCAGGCUACCCCCUGGCUUGUGUGAAUUUCUGGGCUGCUGCCUGCAGAUGGAUGUGGACAGGCGAGGCUCUGCCAAGGAACUUCUGCAGCAUCCAUUUCUGCAAUCAGCGGAGCCUCUCUUAAGCCUCUUCUGACAGCCUUGAUUGCUGUCCUCCCUGCAGCCAGGUAAUGCAGGAAGCAAAAGAGAUGAGAAGGACCACCUGAGCACUUGGAGAACAGAGCCUCUGAGAGCAGGUAGAAAUCCUGAGGAGAGAGGGGCCAGGCAACAGGCAGCCAUCAGAGCAGGAAAGGAAGGUGGCAUCCCCUUUUCUCCCACCUGCUGAUCCUCCUUCUGCAUUUCUGCUUAGGACAGCAUUGCUGGAGGCCACAGAGUCACUACUGAUGUGCACUUUUCAGGAGCUGGAAGGGCAGCGUUUGGAGGCACAGCAGCUGCUGGCACAAGGGGCAAACUUCCUGGAUGAGGUAGAGAAGAAGCAGGAGGAAAGGCUGCUUGAGACGAAGCAGGAAGUUGCCACCAUGCAAGCUGAAUGA
Molecule: RNA transcript, 1628 nt
Organism: Passer domesticus (house sparrow)
Lineage: Eukaryota; Metazoa; Chordata; Aves; Passeriformes; Passeridae
Gene name: serine/threonine-protein kinase PAK 3-like
Exons: 7
Source: RefSeq, a predicted model, not a curated record